AUACUCAUUGGUCCCUGCCCUAGAGAGUGAAGAAUCUGCCAGCACCAUAAGGAUCUGGGAGUUGCAGGAAGCUUUCACAGAUAUGGUUUUCUUGGGAGAAGCUGCCACAAGAUGGCAGUGCCUCAGAUCACAGAGGUUCCUCCACUUUUAGAAACAAAGAGGCGGAAGUCAUGAACAGCAAAGCUGCUGGGGAGAAUCUUGGAAUCCACAGCAUUUCAGAACUUAAAGGAUCCUUUGAAAGGUAAGACCCUAGGAUGUAAGUAUAUACCCUCGGUAUAAGUGUGACCCUCUUAAAGAUCAGAGCUUUUAUUUCCCUUGUAUCAUCUAGCACUUAAUAGACAUGCAGGAUAUAUU
RNAcentral lists this long non-coding RNA (354 nucleotides) under Monodelphis domestica (gray short-tailed opossum). RNAcentral describes it as "lncRNA (ENSMODG00000036697.1)". Lineage: Eukaryota; Metazoa; Chordata; Mammalia; Didelphimorphia; Didelphidae. The record is from RNAcentral.